Molecule: ribosomal RNA, 871 nt
Filed under: uncultured archaeon
Lineage: Archaea
Description: bacterial SSU rRNA
Rfam family: Archaeal small subunit ribosomal RNA
Source: RNAcentral
CUGGUUGAUCCUGCCAGAAGUCACUGCUAUCGGGGUUCGAUUAAGCCAUGCGAGUCGAGAGGGUUCAGACCCUCGGCGGACUGCUCAGUAACACGUGGAUAACCUGGCCUAAGGUGGAGGAUAACCCCGGGAAACUGGGGAUAAUACUCCAUAGAUUAGAGAUACUGGAAUGUUCUUUAAUCGAAAGUUCCGGCGCCUUAGGGUGGAUCUGCGGCCGAUUAGGUAGUUGUUGGGGUAACGGCCCAACAAGCCCGUAAUCGGUACGGGUUGUGGGAGCAAGAGCCCGGAGAUGGAAUCUGAGACACGAUUCCAGGCCCUACGGGGCGCAGCAGGCGCGAAAACUUUACAAUGCAGGAAACUGUGAUAAGGGAACCCCGAGUGCCCGUAUACGCGGGCUGUCCAGGUGUUUAAAAUGCAUCUGAAGAAAGGGCCGGGCAAGACCGGUGCCAGCCGCCGCGGUAAUACCGGCGGCUCGAGUGGUGGCCACUUUUAUUGGGCUUAAAGCGUUCGUAGCUGGAUUUUUAAGUCUCUUGGGAAAUCUGCAGGCCUAACCUGCAGGCGUUUAAGAGAUACUGGGAAUCUAGGAACCGGGAGAGGUAAGAGGUACUCCAGGGGUAGAAGUGAAAUUCUGUAAUCCUUGGGGGACCACCGAUGGCGAAUGCAUCUUACCAGAACGGCUUCGACAGUGAGGAACGAAAGCUGGGGGAGCGAACCGGAUUAGAUACCCGGGUAGUCCCAGCCGUAAACGAUGCGCGUUAGGUGUACCGGUGACCACGAGUCACUGGGGUGCCGAAGGGAAACCGUGAAACGUGCCGCCUGGGAAGUACGGUCGCAAGGCUGAAACUUAAAGGAAUUGGCGGGGGAGCACCAC